AGAAAUUGAGGUCUGAAUUGGAUUCGAUUAAUUCCACAAACUAUAUAUGAUUGAUAUGUAUUUUAACAGUCGGCUUCAAUGUCUAACAAUUUAAAACCCUUGAUUUUAUUAUGAAAUUAAUCCCUAAUUUUUUUGAAUAUAUGGGCUUUGGUAUGCUAGGGUCCUAAAACAGAUUCGUGAACCAAUAUAUUUCUAGUUGCAUACAGAACAGUAGAACACUAAAAUUAUGAUGAUCAAAGCAUAUAAAACAUAAUUAGCUGAAUUGAUUCUUUCUCUAUAUCAGUCUGUAAAAACUGAUAUUGUAGCGGUGGCUUAUACUAAAUGCUUCUAAGUUCUGCUAUUGUAGAGAGCCGAAGAUGCUGCCCACUGCAUAAUUAUGUUUAUAAAAAAACUAUUUUCUGACAUAAUUAUGUUUAUUGUUUAGUGUUUUAGAAACAAAGUUUGAUUUGAAAUAGAAAAAAGAGAGGAGAAUCUUCAAAAAAAUUUGUUAUCUUGACUGAGCGAUUGUAGCUUUAAAGAGCUUCCAGUCACACACAUUUCUCUAACUUCUUAUGUGGAAACCUUGUCGACAUAGACAGGGUGACAUUUCAGUUACUGGAAGCAAAUGAUCGAGUCAAGUAGACCUGGUAGCUGGUAUCAAGAUCAGGGUCCAGACUCCGGUGACUUGUAGCUUCAUAGUUAUUCCCAGAUUCGCCCUGUCUCGGAACCAUGCCAAGCAGCCAAGGUACGUAGUCCCAGUGACAUGCAAUUUCUUCAACUGUUUCUGUGGAAAACUUAAACUUUCCAGGCGAGACGUAGACAGUGUGAUAUAUCAGCAAGUGGAAUCAAAUCAUCUACAAGACCUGGUCCAAGC
RNAcentral lists this long non-coding RNA (853 nucleotides) under Daucus carota (carrot). Its description in RNAcentral is "long non-coding RNA (DCAR_LNC003974)". The record is from RNAcentral. Lineage: Eukaryota; Viridiplantae; Streptophyta; Magnoliopsida; Apiales; Apiaceae.